GAAAUGCGAUAAUUAAUGUGAAUUGCAGAAUUCAGUGAAUCAUCGAGUCUUUGAACGCACAUUGCGCCCCCUGGUAUUCCGGGGGGCAUGCCUGUCCGAGCGUCAUUGCUGCCCUCAAGCACGGCUUGUGUGUUGGGCUUCCGUCCCUGGCAACGGGGACGGGCCCAAAAGGCAGUGGCGGCACCAUGUCUGGUCCUCGAGCGUAUGGGGCUUUGUCACCCGCUCCCGUAGGUCCAGCUGGCAGCUAGCCUCGCAACCAAUCUUUUUAACUAGGUUGACCUCGGAUCAGGUAGGGAUACCCGCUGAACUUAAGC
Molecule: unclassified non-coding RNA, 314 nt
Filed under: plant metagenome
Description: partial contains 5.8S ribosomal RNA, internal transcribed spacer 2, and large subunit ribosomal RNA
Rfam family: 5.8S ribosomal RNA (bases 1-105)
Source: RNAcentral